AUAAUAAUAAAAUAGACAAAAUUAAUGUGACAUCCGUUUGAUCAGUCGGUCACAUAAAUAUCACGUUACAUGUCAUAUUGUUAUAUCAAAUUCUACUCAUCAUUAUUAUAAUAUAAUAAUUAUAAAAUAAAUAAAAAUAAAAAUAAAACAAAAUUGUUAUAUUGAUCUAACAAGGAAACUGCGGCGGAAGAAAGAAUGAGACGAGGUUUUUGUUGUUGUUAACAAGGAAUGGCUGAUCUUCGACGUUGAACGUUCCUUCUCCCUCCCUCGUCAACGUUGAACGUUCCUUCUCCCGGCGAUCUUCGAUCUGGAGCUAUAACAACAGUGAUGAUUAAAACGAAAGAAGAUCGGAGGAAGCCUCUCCCUCCCCUAUUCCUCCGCCGCUGCCGACGUCCAUGCUGCGGCGGUGAUCCGGUUGGUCUCUGAGAGAUGAGAAGAAACCGACGGGGUGGGGUGGAUGUGAUUUCUUGAUGAACGUGAUGAGAUUCCGCCAUUAUUCACCGGAUGAUUGUAGAUUCAAUGUCUUGGGGAUCUGUUAAGUGAAUGAGAUGAAUCAGGGAAGCAAAAAACAACCAGGACGAUGCCGAGUUUCUGAGCGAAUUCAAGAACAAGACUGCGGCUGAGAGGAGCUUCAGCUUGAUUUCUAGUAGCGGUUCCGGAUCUUGCAUCUCGUCGCCGUCCUCGGUAGUUCCGACUCACAAGCUCAUCGUUGCCGUUGUUGCUCGCGGAUACGACAUGCUCACUGUUCUAAUCGGUAGCUCUCAACUAUUGUUUUUCUUCUGUUGAUAUGUUUCUUUUUCCUUUCUCUGUGUCUUGAACGAUUUCUUUGAUUUUUUGAUUGGCAAAUUCAGUUGCUAUUUUGUUGUUUGGUUGUAUUUAGCGUAGAAUUUGAUUCAAAUUAAGUUUCGAACAUUGAAAUUGUGGCGAUUGUGUCUUGUAAUUGAAGCUCAAGUUUUUAAAUUUUAGUAAUUAUAGUGGUUAGAAAAUAAAGUUUUAUUUUUUCAAU
RNAcentral lists this long non-coding RNA (1006 nucleotides) under Linum usitatissimum (flax). RNAcentral's name for it is "long non-coding RNA (LUSI_LNC007297)". The record is from RNAcentral. Lineage: Eukaryota; Viridiplantae; Streptophyta; Magnoliopsida; Malpighiales; Linaceae.